AAAUGAAUAGACGGGGGCCCGCACAAGCGGAGGAGCAUGUGGCUUAAUUCGAUGCAACGCGAAGAACCUUACCCGGGUUUGACAUGUAUCUGCAAGUCCUGUGAAAGCAGGAUUCCUUCGAGGGUGAUACACAGGUGCUGCAUGGCUGUCGUCAGUUCGUGCCGUGAGGUGUUUGGUUAAGUCCAGCAACGAACGCAACCCCUGUGCCCAAUUGCCAGCGCGUAAAGGCGGGAACUUUGGGCAGACUGCCUGUUCACACAGGAGGAAGGUGGGGACGACGUCAAGUCAGUAUGGCCCUUACAUCCGGGGCUGCACACGUGCUACAAUGGCCGGUACAAAGGGACGCGAGACCGCGAGGUGGAGCAAAUCCCCAGAGCCGGCCCCAGUUCAGAUUGCGGUCUGCAACCCGACCGCAUGAAGUCGGAUUCGCUAGUAACGGCGCAUCAGCUACGGCGCCGUGAAUACGUUCCCGGGCCUUGUACACACCGCCCGU
Molecule: ribosomal RNA, 493 nt
Filed under: uncultured bacterium
Lineage: Bacteria
Description: bacterial SSU rRNA
Rfam family: Bacterial small subunit ribosomal RNA
Source: RNAcentral